This 612-nucleotide ribosomal RNA is filed under the name Megaporus howittii. RNAcentral's name for it is "partial 16S ribosomal RNA". The stretch from base 371 to 529 matches the Rfam family "Bacterial large subunit ribosomal RNA", at positions 2473 to 2632 of the family's 2925-position model. Lineage: Eukaryota; Metazoa; Arthropoda; Insecta; Coleoptera; Dytiscidae. The record is from RNAcentral.
UAGAAUUAAGUCUAGCCUGCCCACUGAAAAUUUAAAUGGCCGCAGUAAUUUGACUGUGCAAAGGUAGCAUAAUCAUUAGUUUUUUAAUUAGAAGCUAGAAUGAAUGGUUGGACGAGAUAUAAUCUGUCUUUGGAUAAAAAAUAGAAUUUAAUUUUUAAGUUAAAAAGCUUAAAUAAAAAUAAAAGACGAGAAGACCCUAUAGAUUUUUAUAAUAUUGUUUAUAUUAUAGAUUAAGAUUAUUUUAUUUAUUAUAUUUAAUAUUAUUUUAUUGGGGUAAUAGGGAGAUUAAAUUAAUUCUCUUAAGUAUUUUACAAUAAUGUUUGAUUUAUUUGAUCCUUUAUUAAAGAUUAAAAGAUUAAGUUACCUUAGGGAUAACAGCGUAAUUUUUUUGAAGAGUUCAUAUCGAUAAAAAAGUUUGCGACCUCGAUGUUGGAUUAAAAAUUAUUCUAGGAGUAGAAGUUUAGAAUUUUGGUCUGUUCGACCAUUAAAUUUUUACAUGAUCUGAGUUCAGACCGGUGUAAGCCAGGUCGGUUUCUAUCUUUAUUUAAUGAAUAUAUUUUAGUACGAAAGGACCAAAUAUUUAAUAUAUUAAUAUUUAUUUUUUGAAUAAUA